AUAAGUAAUGUGAAUUGCAGAAUUCAGUGAAUCAUCGAAUCUUUGAACGCACCUUGCGCUCCUUGGUAUUCCGAGGAGCAUGCCUGUUUGAGUGUCA
Molecule: ribosomal RNA, 97 nt
Filed under: Amaurodon viridis
Lineage: Eukaryota; Fungi; Basidiomycota; Agaricomycetes; Thelephorales; Thelephoraceae
Description: partial 5.8S ribosomal RNA
Rfam family: 5.8S ribosomal RNA
About the family: 5.8S ribosomal RNA (5.8S rRNA) is a component of the large subunit of the eukaryotic ribosome. It is transcribed by RNA polymerase I as part of the 45S precursor that also contains 18S and 28S rRNA.
Source: RNAcentral